This 142-nucleotide unclassified non-coding RNA is filed under the name uncultured Ascomycota. RNAcentral's name for it is "sequence contains ITS2". The record is from RNAcentral. Lineage: Eukaryota; Fungi; Ascomycota.
AGACCCAUCAAGCCUGGCUUGGUAUUGGGCGUCGGGUCGACCACCCGCGCCUCCAUUCUCUCGGCUGGACGGUUAGAAUCUCAGCGUUGUGCAAUCAAUUCGCUAGGGAGGACCGCCGGACGCGCCGUUAAAUCCCAUUAAA